RNAcentral lists this ribosomal RNA (254 nucleotides) under uncultured bacterium. RNAcentral describes it as "partial 16S ribosomal RNA". It matches the Rfam family "Bacterial small subunit ribosomal RNA", at positions 38 to 294 of the family's 1533-position model. The record is from RNAcentral.
GGCGGAAUGCUUUACACAUGCAAGUCGGGCGGCAGCAUGGACUUCGGUCUGAUGGCGAGCGGCGAACGGGUGAGUAACAUAUAGGAACAUACCCAGUAAUGGGGGAUAACGCCGAGAAAUCGGUGCUAAUACCGCAUACGCCCUGAGGGGGAAAGCGGGGGAUCUUCGGACCUCGCGUUACUGGAUUGGCCUAUAUCUGAUUAGCUAGUUGGUGAGGUAAAGGCUCACCAAGGCGACGAUCAGUAGCUGGUCUG